Molecule: non-coding RNA, 800 nt
Organism: Punica granatum (pomegranate)
Lineage: Eukaryota; Viridiplantae; Streptophyta; Magnoliopsida; Myrtales; Lythraceae
Source: RefSeq, a predicted model, not a curated record
CAUAUGAUCGUUGGGUAGGGGCCCUCUUCCUACCCAACAGAAACCCCAUUUGCCUUCUCCUUUCUUCAAGCUCGAACCUCUGUUUUAGGGUUCCCUGCAAGCACUCCAAUUUACGACUGAAAUCGAGCACAAAAACCUGGUAAUUCAGGUCGGAAACUGGCAAUUAGUGACAAGGAAGAUGCCAUUUGAUCGAUUAUUGACCUCCAGGCAGUGAUUUGCAGAGUGUUCGUGUGUGAGGACAACGGGGACAGACGACGUGCGACCAACAGUACAAAGCUUGACUUUGUCAUAAGAGAUUUUCGGAGUUAGUGAGGUCUGUCACCAUAGGAUAGAGAUUCCCGACUUAGGUCUUUAUCGAGGGCCCCCUCCAUUGCUCUAUUCACCUGUACAGGAGUCUUUAAGAACUGGUCCACCUUUGCUUGAGAGAGCCAUCUACAGUCGAGUUUUGGUCCGACAAGUUUAUCGAUCAUGGCUCCUAAGGGUGAGAAUGUCAUUGAGUGGAUUGAUCGGAUGGAGUUGGCUUUCAUUCAUAUCAUGGUUGACAAGUUGAAAAGGAGCCACACCACAUGUUAUAAGCAAAACGAUUGGGAAGAGAUGGCGGUGAAUAUGGGAAAGCAAUUUCCUAAUGAGCAACUAUGCUUCCAGAAGGUAAAGGACAAUUGUACUAGGCUUAAGACUAACUACAAGUAAUUAACUGAGAUCUUUGUAUUUGAAAUUAGUAGCAAUACUUGUUCUAUUUGGCAAUUGAAUUUGCCAAUUUUUUUAAAUCAAAUUAAUUAAUGUAGACAUCUAUUUCUGUA